Molecule: ribosomal RNA, 253 nt
Filed under: uncultured bacterium
Lineage: Bacteria
Description: partial 16S ribosomal RNA
Rfam family: Bacterial small subunit ribosomal RNA
Source: RNAcentral
UACGUAGGGUGCGAGCGUUGUCCGGAAUUACUGGGCGUAAAGAGCUUGUAGGUGGUUUGUCGCGUUGUUCGUGAAAUCUCACGGCUCAACUGUGAGCGUGCGGGCGAUACGGGCAGACUAGAGUACUGCAGGGGAGACUGGAAUUCCUGGUGUAGCGGUGGAAUGCGCAGAUAUCAGGAGGAACACCGGUGGCGAAGGCGGGUCUCUGGGCAGUAACUGACGCUGAGGCACGAAGGCCAGGGGAGCGAAUGGG